Molecule: long non-coding RNA, 1219 nt
Filed under: Felis catus (domestic cat)
Lineage: Eukaryota; Metazoa; Chordata; Mammalia; Carnivora; Felidae
Description: lncRNA (ENSFCAG00000049025.1)
Source: RNAcentral
CUUACCCAACAGUUUUUAAGUGGGAGAGCCAGGACUACACUGGCCUGAUUUCUUGAGCCCCAUGAUCUCAACUGCUCUGCUACAGGAAGCUGUUAUUUUGCUUUGGCUUCCUAAGUGCCUUUUCAGAUAAGAGUGGUCAUUUGGGCUGCCCUGCAUAAUGGUGGAAAAUUCCACAAGUCUGAACAUCCAUGAUCUAGGCUUUCUGGACCAAGUCUUGUCGUAACCACUCUGCCUUUCUAUUUUGCCACCUCUGAAAAAGGAAUUCUGCUGGAAUCAUAAGUAAUAGCUAUGCGUGAAGUGCAUAGUCAUCAUGGUAUUGAUCAUCUCCCAAGCUGUUUUGGUUUGUCUGGGCUCUAAGGAUAGAAACCCAACCUUUUGCUUCUUUCACCAUCCUCCUUCAUUUUGUUCAUCAUAACAAGUUAACAUGAUAAAGGAGAGGCUGUUUUCUUCCUUUUCCUGUUGCAGAAGUGGAGGCUCGGAUAACAUCAAGCACCUUGCCCCAAGCUACAUAACCAAUUUCUUAACCUAUCAGAAUUUGUUUCCCUGCUGAAAAAUUGGAGAUAACAAUAUCCAACCCUUAGACGUGUUGUGAUCAUGUCUUUAAAGUUCAGAGCACUAAGGAUGGAUUUAGCAGACUGCAUCUGCCCUCACCAAUAAGUAGUUACAUCACACUGGGAAGCACAGCAUUUGAUAUGAAAGGAAGGAAGAAUGAACCCGUUUUACCAAGAGCUAAAAAUAAUUUCAGAGGGCUGGAGACAAAGCAGAGGUGAUGCCAACCAUUUCCUAGAACAGUUGACAAACUGACACUCUCCUACAAGCCAAUUUCACUCAUUUUCUUUUCUAUUUUUUUGUUUCCCGACUACUCUGGUUUUUUUUUUUUUUUUUUUUUUUUUCCUCUGGACAUGCUGGUGGGGAAGCCUCACAAAUUAAACUAGGAAAACUCUGGGCGUCCUGUCAUCUCAUCUUCAGCCUGAGGUUGUAUUUUCCCUUUUGCAAAGUCUUCACGUGGAGUCAGUGCAGCUGAUUAGAAGACCUAUUCCCGCAUGGGCAGCCUGGAGGUGCCCGGUUUUGAAACUCAGCAGCUCCACACAAAACAUGCCAUAUCUGUCAAGAGGCAAUGUAAUUUAUAGAUGCCCAGAAGCAAGGCAAAGAAGGCUGGCUAAGGGUCCUCAAGUGUUCCAGUUUUGAGCUUCCCCAACUCCUUCAUACCUCUGACAUC